AAUAAUUAUUACGAAAGCAAAAAAUUAUGGCGGUAUUUUAAGCUUUUCAGAGGAACUUGCUCUUUAAUGGAUAGAACACCUAAAUCUUACUUAAAUUUGCUAAAUCAAUUUGUAUACCACUAUAAAAUUAAUUAUUUACUUUAAUUAAUAAAGUUUAUAAAUUUUAGAGUAAAUUAAGUCAAGGUGCAGUAAAAAUUUAAGAAUGAAGUGAGUUACAUUUCUUUUAAGAGAACUACAAAUUUAAAAAUAAUAUUAGGAUUUGAAAGUAAAAUUAAAAUAGAAUGUUAA
RNAcentral lists this ribosomal RNA (288 nucleotides) under Rhipicephalus bursa. RNAcentral describes it as "partial 12S ribosomal RNA". Lineage: Eukaryota; Metazoa; Arthropoda; Arachnida; Ixodida; Ixodidae. The record is from RNAcentral.